GACGAACGCUGGCGGCGUGCCUAACACAUGCAAGUCGAGCGGAGAUUGCAGUAAUGUAAUCUUAGCGGCGGACGGGUGAGUAACGCGUGGGCAACCUGCCUCAAACAGGGGGGAUAACACUGGGAAACUAGUGCUAAUACCGCAUAACAUCAAAGAAUGGCAUCAUUCAUUGAUCAAAGGAGAAAUCCGGUAUGAGAUGGGCCCGCGUCCGAUUAGCUAGUUGGUGGUGUAAUGGACCACCAAGGCGACGAUCGGUAGCCGAACUGAGAGGUUGAUCGGCCACAUUGGGACUGAGACACGGCCCAGACUCCUACGGGAGGCAG
This 323-nucleotide ribosomal RNA is filed under the name uncultured Bacillota bacterium. Its description in RNAcentral is "bacterial SSU rRNA". It matches the Rfam family "Bacterial small subunit ribosomal RNA", at positions 28 to 351 of the family's 1533-position model. The record is from RNAcentral. Lineage: Bacteria; Bacillati; Bacillota.